Molecule: non-coding RNA, 105 nt
Filed under: Peromyscus maniculatus bairdii (prairie deer mouse)
Lineage: Eukaryota; Metazoa; Chordata; Mammalia; Rodentia; Cricetidae
Source: RNAcentral
GGUUGGUCCAAGGGUAUUUACAACUAAUUGAUCACAGCCAGUUACAGAUUUCUUUGUUCCUUCUCACUUUGUUCCACUCCCACUACUUCACUUGAACAGCCAUCC